CUCGCCUGCAUGAAGUCGGAAUUGCUAGUAAUCGUAGGUCAGCAUACUACGGUGAAUACGUUCCCGGGCCUUGUACACACCGCCCGUCAAACCAUGAGAGUUGGCAACACCCGAAGUCGGUAGUCUAACCGCAAGGAGGACGCCGCCGAAGGUGGGGUUGAUGAUUAGGGUUAAGUCGUAACAAGGUACC
Molecule: ribosomal RNA, 190 nt
Filed under: uncultured bacterium
Lineage: Bacteria
Description: partial 16S ribosomal RNA
Rfam family: Bacterial small subunit ribosomal RNA
Source: RNAcentral